AUCCAACUGACGAGUCCCAAAUAAGACGAUGCGUGCAUCCUAGAU
Non-coding RNA from Schistosoma curassoni, 45 nucleotides. The record is from Rfam. NCBI's taxonomy places the organism in Eukaryota, Metazoa, Platyhelminthes, Trematoda, Strigeidida, Schistosomatidae.